RNAcentral lists this ribosomal RNA (505 nucleotides) under uncultured bacterium. Its description in RNAcentral is "partial 16S ribosomal RNA". It matches the Rfam family "Bacterial small subunit ribosomal RNA", at positions 28 to 507 of the family's 1533-position model. The record is from RNAcentral.
GACGAACGCUGGCGGCGUGCCUAAUACAUGCAAGUAGAACGCACAGUUUAUACCGUAGCUUGCUCCACCAUAGACUGUGAGUUGCGAACGGGUGAGUAACGCGUAGGUAACCUGCCUGGUAGCGGGGGAUAACUAUUGGAAACGAUAGCUAAUACCGCAUAAUAUUAAUUAUUGCAUGAUAAUUAAUUGAAAGGUGCAAUUGCACCACUACCAGAUGGACCUGCGUUGUAUUAGCUAGUAGGUGAGGUAACGGCUCACCUAGGCGACGAUACAUAGCCGACCUGAGAGGGUGAUCGGCCACACUGGGACUGAGACACGGCCCAGACUCCUACGGGAGGCAGCAGUAGGGAAGCUUCGGCAAUGGACGAAAGUCUGACCGAGCAACGCCGCGUGAGUGAAGAAGGUUUUCGGAUCGUAAAGCUCUGUUGUAAGAGAAGAAUGGGUGUGAGAGUGGAAAGUUCACACUGUGACGGUAUCUUACCAGAAAGGGACGGCUAACUACGUG